CACGUAUGGGGCAAGCGUUGUUCGGAAUUAUUGGGCGUAAAGGGCGUGCAGGCGGCCGUGCAAGUCUGGUGUGAAAGGCUCGGGCUUAACCCGAGAGUCGCGCUGGAAACUGUGGGGCUUGAGUUCCGGAGAGGAAGCUAGAAUUCCAGGUGUAGGGGUGAAAUCUGUAGAUAUCUGGAAGAAUACCGGUGGCGAAGGCGAGCUUCUGGCCGAGAACUGACGCUGAGGCGCGAAAGCGUGGGGAGCAAAC
This 250-nucleotide ribosomal RNA is filed under the name uncultured bacterium. Its description in RNAcentral is "partial 16S ribosomal RNA". It matches the Rfam family "Bacterial small subunit ribosomal RNA", at positions 524 to 773 of the family's 1533-position model. The record is from RNAcentral.